RNAcentral lists this transfer RNA (77 nucleotides) under Tsukamurella paurometabola DSM 20162. Its description in RNAcentral is "tRNA-Met". It matches the Rfam family "tRNA". From Rfam's summary of the family: Transfer RNA (tRNA) molecules are approximately 80 nucleotides in length. Lineage: Bacteria; Bacillati; Actinomycetota; Actinomycetes; Mycobacteriales; Tsukamurellaceae. The record is from RNAcentral.
GGGGUAGUAGCUCAGUUGGUUAGAGCCGCGGACUCAUAAUCCGCUGGUCGCGGGUUCGAGCCCCGCCUACCCCACCG